This is an RNA transcript of Homo sapiens (human), 3841 nucleotides long. It is a transcript of the gene named acyl-CoA dehydrogenase family member 11, with no coding region annotated. The record is from RefSeq and is marked reviewed. Lineage: Eukaryota; Metazoa; Chordata; Mammalia; Primates; Hominidae. The transcript is spliced from 19 exons.
AGGACUUCGGCACUCGAGACCUGUGGAUGCCGCGUUGCUGUGGCCUGCGGGGGUGAUCAUGAAGCCAGGUGCUACUGGCGAGUCCGAUUUGGCCGAAGUGCUGCCCCAGCACAAGUUCGACAGCAAGUCCCUGGAGGCCUACCUAAACCAGCACUUGUCUGGCUUUGGGGCCGAACGUGAGGCUACGCUGACCAUUGCCCAGUACAGAGCAGGAAAGUCCAAUCCAACCUUUUAUCUCCAGAAGGGCUUUCAAACAUAUGUGCUCAGGAAAAAACCACCAGGUUCACUUCUUCCUAAAGCACAUCAGAUUGAUAGAGAAUUUAAAGUCCAGAAAGCCUUGUUUUCAAUUGGAUUCCCCGUUCCCAAGCCUAUACUGUACUGCAGUGAUACUUCUGUCAUUGGAACAGAAUUUUACGUAAUGGAACAUGUGCAGGGUCGAAUCUUCCGUGAUUUAACAAUUCCUGGACUUAGCCCAGCAGAACGUUCAGCCAUAUAUGUGGCCACGGUAGAAACAUUGGCUCAGUUACAUUCCUUGAAUAUACAGUCACUGCAGCUGGAAGGAUAUGGUAUAGGUGCUGGGUACUGCAAAAGACAGGUAUCAACCUGGACAAAGCAAUAUCAAGCUGCAGCUCAUCAGGACAUCCCUGCCAUGCAACAGCUAUCGGAGUGGCUAAUGAAGAACUUGCCCGAUAAUGACAAUGAAGAGAAUUUGAUUCAUGGAGAUUUCAGACUAGAUAACAUAGUUUUCCACCCUAAAGAGUGUCGAGUUAUAGCAGUGCUGGAUUGGGAGCUGUCAACCAUUGGUCAUCCUUUGUCAGACUUAGCUCAUUUUUCCCUGUUCUACUUUUGGCCAAGGACAGUUCCAAUGAUAAAUCAAGGUUCUUAUAGUGAAAACUCAGGGAUACCAUCAAUGGAAGAACUGAUUUCAAUAUAUUGCCGCUGCAGGGGAAUUAAUUCUAUUCUUCCUAACUGGAAUUUCUUUCUUGCCCUUUCAUAUUUUAAGAUGGCUGGAAUAGCACAGGGAGUAUAUAGCAGAUAUCUUCUGGGAAAUAAUUCAUCUGAGGAUAGCUUUUUAUUUGCCAAUAUUGUGCAACCUCUGGCAGAAACUGGACUACAACUCUCCAAACGAACUUUCAGUACUGUACUACCACAGAUUGAUACUACUGGACAGUUGUUUGUACAGACUCGGAAAGGUCAGGAAGUUCUUAUUAAGGUGAAGCAUUUCAUGAAACAACACAUUCUUCCAGCUGAAAAGGAGGUAACUGAGUUCUAUGUUCAAAAUGAAAAUUCAGUGGACAAGUGGGGAAAACCUUUAGUGAUUGAUAAACUCAAGGAAAUGGCCAAAGUCGAGGGUCUCUGGAACUUGUUUUUGCCAGCUGUCAGCGGACUCAGCCACGUGGACUAUGCCUUGAUUGCUGAAGAAACAGGAAAAUGCUUUUUUGCUCCAGAUGUCUUUAACUGCCAAGCACCAGACACAGGGAAUAUGGAGGUUCUGCACCUGUAUGGAAGUGAGGAACAGAAGAAACAGUGGCUUGAGCCUCUUCUUCAAGGGAACAUUACCUCUUGCUUCUGUAUGACAGAACCUGAUGUAGCUUCAAGUGAUGCCACGAAUAUUGAAUGCAGCAUCCAACGAGAUGAAGAUAGCUAUGUAAUUAACGGCAAAAAAUGGUGGAGCAGUGGAGCUGGGAAUCCCAAGUGCAAAAUUGCAAUUGUUUUGGGAAGAACUCAAAAUACUUCUCUCUCCAGGUAAUUAAACAAUUCUGAUUGAGAAACCUGUGUAGGAAUGAGCCAGUCUUCCUCCUAUCUAGGUAAUUUACUUAAAAUUCACUGUUUGGACUCACAAAUCAUAAUGUAAGAUAUGAGAGUAAAUGUCAUAUAUUUGUAUUUCACAAGUAUUUUCUAACAGGUGUUUUUGGAAAACAUUAUAGGGAGUAUUGCUGAACAUUCUUCGCUGUGGAAUUUUCAGUAUUAGAAAGUGUUGCUAAAUUAUCAAAGCUGUUUGGAUUAAAUUAUCAGACAAAUUUUUUCAGACCUGUGUAAUGAAGUGAUUAGAUGUUUAGAUCAAAGGCAAUAAUCUUGAAAUGUUUAAUUAUAUAUAUAAGUUCCCAGUUACCAUUGUUGAGCAGUGAGAAGCUUCAAUCAAACAACUCAUUUAUUUUCAAAUCAUUGUUUCUGUUCCAGAUCACAGCCUGCAUCAGACUAUGUUGGUGUACGUCUUUUACACAGUUCCCAUUCCAGUCAUCACUGCUUACAUGACUACAUGAAAACAUCAAAAAGACAAUUGUGAUUCUGCUUAUUAUCUGUUUUAUUUUUCUUCUUAGCAAACUUUUUCUAAUACAAUUUUUCUUUUGACUAGACACAAACAGCACAGCAUGAUUCUUGUUCCCAUGAACACACCUGGAGUAAAAAUAAUAAGGCCUUUGUCAGUUUUUGGCUACACAGAUAAUUUUCAUGGAGGACAUUUUGAGAUCCAUUUUAAUCAAGUGCGAGUUCCUGCCACAAAUCUAAUACUAGGUGAAGGUAGGGGAUUUGAAAUUUCCCAAGGCCGCCUUGGACCUGGCAGAAUCCACCACUGUAUGAGAACAGUAGGUUUGGCGGAACGCGCUUUGCAGAUCAUGUGUGAGCGGGCAACACAAAGGAUAGCUUUCAAGAAGAAGUUGUAUGCACAUGAGGUUGUGGCUCACUGGAUUGCUGAAAGCCGCAUUGCCAUUGAGAAGAUCCGCUUGUUGACUCUGAAAGCUGCUCACAGCAUGGACACUCUGGGCAGUGCUGGCGCUAAGAAAGAGAUUGCAAUGAUCAAAGUGGCUGCCCCACGGGCUGUCAGCAAAAUCGUUGACUGGGCCAUCCAGGUGUGCGGAGGUGCUGGUGUUUCCCAGGAUUACCCUCUGGCUAACAUGUAUGCUAUAACCCGAGUUUUGCGUUUAGCAGAUGGACCUGACGAAGUUCAUCUUUCAGCAAUCGCAACAAUGGAGCUGCGGGACCAAGCCAAAAGACUGACAGCCAAGAUAUAAGGAGGGUGGCACUGCCACAUCCCACUGGCAGAAACUCUCCUUUAUACAAACUUCAUUGGCUCCAACAUUUGAAUCUCAUAUUUUUGUAGCAGUUUGAGCACAGGGUUAAUUAUUCAUUUGUGGUAAAGAUUAUAGCAUCUAUUUUGAUCAGUGGGUUUUAUUAUUUCAAGGGUCACACAGGGUUAAGUUCAGUAAGAAAUGCUGUAGCUGUUGUCAUUCAAUCUAGUGCCUCCUUGAGGCCAGGAGUUCAGGACCAGCCUGGGCAACAUAGCGAGACCCCCAUUGCUACAAAAAAUUUAAAAAUGAAACAAGUGUGGUGGCACAUGCUUGUAGUCCUAGCUACUUGGGAGGCUGAGGCAGGAGGAUUGCUUGAGUCUAGGAGUUUGAGGUUACAGUAAGCUGUGAUCGUGACAUGGCCUCCAGCCUGGGUGACCGAGUGAGACUGUUUCUAAAAAUAAAAACAAAAAAUAAAUUUCUUCUUGAGGUGGGGUGGAGGUGGGGAGCAAGAAUUUGACCUGGCUCUGAUCCCUGGUGUGUUGUGUGGGCCUCUUUAACGUUUGCCACUGAGCCUUAACCUCACUGUACUUCACUGUACUUCACACGCAUUGGUGUUAACAUUUUAAUCUUAGAAGACCCUGACCCACUGAGGGUUUGUUGUGAGAAUUGCUGAAGCCACGUAGAAGCACCUUGAAAUCUGUAAAACCACAAGAAAGUACUUUAUAAAAGGUAUCCUUAUUUGAAGUGGAUAAAUCUUGUAACUCGAAAAGUUGUGAUUUAGAAGACAGGAUUGUUUUUGAACAUUAGGAAUUAAAGGCUAUAUCUGGUCCUUA